This 375-nucleotide ribosomal RNA is filed under the name uncultured organism. RNAcentral's name for it is "bacterial SSU rRNA". It matches the Rfam family "Archaeal small subunit ribosomal RNA", at positions 476 to 851 of the family's 1478-position model. The record is from RNAcentral.
CCUGCAGCCCAAGUGGUGCUCGUUAUUAUCGGGUCUAAAACGUCCGUAGUCGGCUGAGUAGAUGCCCGGGUAAAUCGCAGCGCUCAACGUUGCGAAUUCCGGGUAGACCGCUCGGCUAGGGAGUGGGAGAAGUGCGAGGUACUCUGAGGGUAGGGGUAAAAUCCUGUAAUCCUUGGGGGACCACCAGUGGCGAAGGCGUCGCACUAGAACACGUCCGACGAUCAGGGACGAAGCCCUGGGGCGCAAACGGGAUUAGAUACCCCGGUAGUCCAGGGUGUAAACGCUGCCGGCUUGGUGUCGCGGAUCCUACGUGGGUACGCGGUGCCGGAGUGAAGAUGUUAAGCCGGCUACCUGGGGAGUACGGUCGCAAGACUG